Molecule: transfer RNA, 90 nt
Filed under: Rhodospirillaceae bacterium
Lineage: Bacteria; Pseudomonadati; Pseudomonadota; Alphaproteobacteria; Rhodospirillales; Rhodospirillaceae
Also listed under: 2 other names
Description: tRNA-Ser
Rfam family: tRNA
About the family: Transfer RNA (tRNA) molecules are approximately 80 nucleotides in length.
Source: RNAcentral
GGAGGGGUGGCCGAGUGGCUGAAGGCGCACGCUUGGAAAGCGUGUAAACGGGCGACCGUUUCGAGGGUUCGAAUCCCUCUCCCUCCGCCA